Molecule: non-coding RNA, 167 nt
Filed under: Burkholderiales bacterium 8X
Lineage: Bacteria; Pseudomonadati; Pseudomonadota; Betaproteobacteria; Burkholderiales
Description: FMN
Rfam family: FMN riboswitch aptamer (RFN element)
About the family: The RFN element is a highly conserved domain that is found frequently in the 5'-untranslated regions of prokaryotic mRNAs that encode for flavin mononucleotide (FMN) biosynthesis and transport proteins. This element is a metabolite-dependent riboswitch that directly binds FMN in the absence of proteins.
Source: RNAcentral
AAGCGUUCUCAGGGCGGGGUGCAACUCCCCACCGGCGGUGAUGGCGAAGCGUGGCGACACCUUGGCACGAGCCCGCGAGCGCCCGCUGCGCCCCUGGUGCGGCGGGGUCAGCAGACCCGGUGCGAUCCCGGGGCCGACGGUCACAGUCCGGAUGAAAGAGAGCGCGG